Long non-coding RNA from Eleginops maclovinus (Patagonian blennie), 3266 nucleotides. RefSeq lists it as uncharacterized. Lineage: Eukaryota; Metazoa; Chordata; Actinopteri; Perciformes; Eleginopidae. The record is from RefSeq and is a predicted model, not a curated record. The transcript has 5 exons.
AAGAAAUCUGCCCUUAGGCCUUCAGAAUCAACAGUGCGGGCGCCUGUAGCUUAAAGUGAACGCAAACAAAACUGUGGCGUUAACCAAUCAGAUUUCGAGGUGGCGACAACGGGCCAGCUAGCAGGCGUACGCUAACGUUAGCACGUGCACAUCUUCUGAUUGGAUACGCACUAUUGAGAGGCAGAGCUAGGCAGUAGGCAGAGCCAUACAGUCUAUGGGCAAAGCUAGCAAACAGAGCUAGAACUUGAGCGAGCUAAUUUGUGUAGAUUUCUACAAGCUAUUUUUUUCAACCCACAAUGGCUGAAGGAGGAGAAGAGAUCAAUUUGGUAGAAGAUAUAAUUACAACGCCAUUUUCAAAACGAACUUUUCAAGUAAAGCUACACAUCUUGAAAAGGGAACGACCAACUCCAACGCUAGCGAGCCUAGCACAGCAGGGAAACUACGAGCGGUACCCCUGGCUCACAGCCUCCGAGAGGCACUGCAAAUUGUACUGCCGGGAAUGCCUGGUAUUUGCAACUGAUCGAUUUGGUGUUUGGAGCCACACUAAAUUUGCAAACUUGAGUUGUCUAACCAAGGCAGCAACGAGACACCAAAGCACAGCUGGGCACUUGGAAGCACUGGUGCUUUUGAAAACCUUUGGGGACACCCGAGUGGAUCUACAGCUCAACGAACAAGUGCGCAGGGAAACGGAGCUCGAAACGAAAGGGUGAACAAAAAUAGGGAAAUAUUGAAAGACUGAUUGAUUGAUUGUGUCCUGUUUUUGGGUAAACAGGAACUUUCAUUUAUGGGACACGAUGAAAGCGCCGAGUCCAGAAACAGAGGAAACUACGUGGAGCUUCUUUCUUUUCUUGCUGAGAACAACACAGAUUUGCAUUACCACCUGUACACAAACAACAUGUUUACUGGGACGUCAGGCAAAAUACAAAACGACCUGAUUAAUGCUAUUGCUGAAGUGAUGGGAGAAGAGAUCAAAAUGAAGAUUAAAAAAGUACCCUUUGUCGCUGUUAUGGUGGACGAGACGUCAGAUGUGGGUAAUGUAGCACAGCUGGCACUUGUUCUGCGUUAUGUGACAGACACAGGUGUCAAGGAGCGGUUUGUCAGAUAAUCUGAUUAAUUAAGUUAACUGUAAAUGCUGAUGUAUUCAUUAUAAAUGCUUCAGAAAUAUUAAUAUAACUCUGUUGUACUUGACUAUGUUAAGGUGAUGCAACGCCCGGUUAUACUUCGUUUCUGUCUAAAUGUAUAGUUUCUAGAGCCAUGGCGUCAUAAUGAUGGUAUUAAGAGGUGGAAUAAUUCAGGUAGGACUGUGUAGGAUAUCACUGAAGGCCUAGGUGUGAAAUGCACGGCCCGCCACUGGGUUUAAGAAAUGUGGUUUUCACACCUUGAAUGCAGCAGCACAAUAUUUGUUGUUUUUUAAAUCCCAGUGAGCAACAUCAGAGUCCUUUUCUAGACAUGGUUAUUAUGGUUACUAUAAGGAGCAUGACCAUGUAUCUCAACCACUCAACCGAAUAUGAAGAAGUGGUUUUCCUCCAGUUAUGUUUUAGUUAAUUACACAAUGAGUAAUGUAAAAAUGAGAAAUGUUAGUUAAUAUUCAACCUGAAGCAAGUUUAAAUUCUCAACAUUGUACACAUUAAUUGUAUGAUUCCGAUAUGACUUUAUUUAAUGUAGCACAAAAGUAUGGAGCUAUUUUGAGCAGACUAACUAACUAGCAACUAACCACUUCCUUUUCUCUGCACCUCCUACACGAAUACAUCUCUGAGAUAAUCUUGAAGUUUCAGUCUGCCUAUACCUGAUGGACAUCAUGUUCACCCGAGACCAAGCAGCUCUGCUCUCCAUUCAUCUAUAUGCUAUGGGCCAAGUCUUUGCAGGGACUGUUACAGAGGAGCACAGGAGUAUACAGGAGUCCAGGGGAGGCUCCGUCAUCCUCACUUGCAACAUAUCAGCGACAAAUGUAACGCAAAUCAACUGGACCAAAGGCAGUUUUCUUUUUGCAUAUUCAUUCAAACACAAUCAGACUUUUUCAAAUUUCACCUCUCACACACUGAUAGACACAACCCUACCUUCAACGCUGAAUAUUUCUAAUGUUCAGCAUGAAGAUGCAGGACUCUAUAGAUGUAAUCUAACUUACCCAACAGGUGCAGGAUAUAUUGAGUGGAAUUUAACGUUGUCCGGUGAACCUGAAGGAAAAGAUUCAUCGUGGUCUUUUCUAUACACACUCUCCGCUGUAAUUGGAUUUGUUCUAUGUGUCUUCACUUCAGUUCUCUACCUCUUCAGGAAAAGCUGGACUAACAACUCAAAGCAGGAGAGCAAAUUCCUGAGUCAUGUCCAGUUUUGUGUUCAGUUGGGAAGAGAGGUGGCUCUUCCUCAACUCCACAGCUGUGCAGUCUACAAGGCGAAUCACAAGCAUAGGGAGUCUGUGCAGUGAAAAGUGGGAUUCAGUUUGUUCUGAGAAGCUUCAGACUCAGUUUAAAGCUGAAUAAGAACAAAGACAACGUGAAAACGAGACGACAAAUCUGAUCCUUACCACAGAUAAAGAUGCAGGAGCUGGAUUCGUUUUGUGUCGUCUAUUAGCAAUGAUCUAUUUCUAUCAUGCGUUUAGAGCUUUAUUAUUGGCUGAGCACUUUCUGCGCUGCGUAUUUGGCUGUGCAAAGUGAGCUUUGUGUAUACAUAGUCUAUGUUUGUAACAUGUCUUGCAUAGGAACAUAUUGGAACAUUAGUAUGAUAAUAACACGAGCAAGUGUUGCGAUUAGCUACUAAGCAUUUAGACGUGCUCUCCUGUGUCAAUCUCUCGUGGUAAGCGUUGAUAGAAUCCCCGGGGAAUGCGUAAUGUACGCCUGAGCUUUGUUUUAUUUUGUUAAAUGAUAACAUUACCUUUCCGGAAGCCAUGUGAUUUCAAGCUCCGGAUGUACGGUGGUUGUUUUCAGAGCAAAACGGCGCUUAAAAAGUGUAAGCCAUAGUAAUUAUGUUCGUUUUUCUACUGCUGGUUUUUACUAGGGGAAUACGUUUUCACGGCGUCAUGGUACUUAAAGAGACGAUAAAUGUUGUGAACAUCAGUUUGAUUCUUAACGUGAUUUUAACCACAGUAGAUACAGGCAGGGCAGCAUGCCUUACCAUGGAUGUGAUGCCAAGUACAUUCUUUCAAUAAAUAUUGAAUAUUUGAAAUGAAAUGCCCACAUUUGGGGUUUGCUGUAUUUUCUGCCUCUUUCAAGGUUUCAAGGUUUUAUUGGUCAUAUGCACAGCAGAUACAGCGUAUAUGUUGGCAAUGAAAA